CAGCCGCCGCGGUAAUACGUAGGUGGCAAGCGUUGUCCGGAAUUAUUGGGCGUAAAGGGCUCGCAGGCGGUUUCUUAAGUCUGAUGUGAAAGCCUCCGGCUCAACCGGGGAGGGUCAUUGGAAACUGGGAAACUUGAGUGCAGAAGAGGAGAGUGGAAUUCCACGUGUAGCGGUGAAAUGCGUAGAGAUGUGGAGGAACACCAGUGGCGAAGGCGACUCUCUGGUCUGUAACUGACGCUGAGGAGCGGAAGCGUGGGGAGCGAACAGGAUUAGAUACCCCCGUAGUCCCUGUCUCUUAUAA
RNAcentral lists this ribosomal RNA (301 nucleotides) under uncultured bacterium. RNAcentral describes it as "partial 16S ribosomal RNA". It matches the Rfam family "Bacterial small subunit ribosomal RNA", at positions 509 to 809 of the family's 1533-position model. The record is from RNAcentral.